GAUUCACCAUGCUUUAUUAGAAAAUCCCCAAAGUUACUCCAAGAAAGCUUCCAUAUAGUUAAACAUGAAAUUCAAAUAUCUGAGGAGGUUAAGCAUAACCACAAAUCAUAAUCUGAUAAGUCCAAAGCUAAUUAAUUUUCCAUAUUUGAUUUCAAUAUGCUUACAAUAUGAUGGGAAACAACUUUUUUUUUUUUUUUUUGCAUGUGUUUGCUACUUGCAGUUGCACCAGCAUCAUUUCAGUCAAUGAACUUUUUCUGAAAAAUACCAUCAGUAACCAUACAUUUACUAUCUGCAGCUGAAUAUGUGUUGUGUUGCACUUCUCUUUCUCUAAUUUAAUAGGAAAUUCAGAGGAUGAAUUCUGACCCACAAUCUAACUUAGUAGAGUAAAUAAUGAUACUUGUUACUACAAAAGAGGGGCUGUCUUCAUGCAUUGGUUACAAGAUCACUCCUUGAAGCAGUUAUGACUGAUAGUGUGAAUAGAGACAAUCAGUUUCAGCAGGGACAGGAAUUACAAAGUUCUGCUGAUACACUGGUAUUCCUUUAUUACUAAAGCGUACUAACCUUUAGUGAACUUUAUAACAUGAAAUGUCUUGAAUAAAGUCUUAUAUAAAAUGUGACUAUUUUUCCACGUCUAAAGUUUACUUCAAAAAUGUGAGUACAUGUUCUUCUUCCUAAACCCUUUUAUUCUUUCAUCAAAUGUACUUGCUUUAAAUUCAUUGCUUUUUCCACUUUAUAAACUAGAUGGGUUUGAAUACUUACGGGAGGAAUCUAAAGCAUUUGGUUGUUAUUAGUGUGGAGAUAGCUGACUCACAUAUGCAAAAAAUUAAAGAAACUCAGAAAUGUUCAAGUGAUAUUUGUUUUGUUUUGAGGCUAUACAGCACCAAACCACAUCCUGUUGUACAAUGGGUCUUUUCCCUUUUUAUUUUUAUUGUGCAGUAUCUUUUCAGGUUAAUAAAACAAAUAAGGACAUUACUUUUAUUCUCUAUCUCCACUUUUUUUUUUCUUUUUUAGAUAUAAGAUACUACGCAUUGUUGCUCAGUGAUUUUUGUUUCUCUUUUUAAAAUCCCUACCCUUUCCUUCUGCUCAGGAG
RNAcentral lists this long non-coding RNA (1090 nucleotides) under Strigops habroptila (Kakapo). RNAcentral's name for it is "lncRNA (ENSSHBG00005004449.1)". The record is from RNAcentral. Lineage: Eukaryota; Metazoa; Chordata; Aves; Psittaciformes; Psittacidae.